AUGCAUAAAAUGAUAAAAUAUCUGGUGAAAGUACAGCACAGGUACAUCAACACACGUUCCACACUCAAUAAUCCUAACACUCUAUCGCAGUUUCGCGUCCCUUUCCGGCCGAUAGACUUGCUGGUUUGACCAACUUUGAAGGCUCCAAGUUGCAUCGAUACGUGCCGAAAACCGUCUUAUCACACACCGCCACACCGUGACGACGAGAUUGCCCGAGCCGUGGAUGCAACAGGUCCGGCAGAGUCAGAGCAGAGCGGACCUGAGAUUUCGAACCGAGUCGUGAGUAGGUACAGUAACGGUUUCGAUUAAUUGGAGAGUUGUGAACGCGUACAGAGAGUGAUCACAUUAUGCGCGCCAUGUGCUCUAAUCUAAUCAUGGAACGCGUCAAGGGGCGCUUGAGCAAUAUUUUUGUUUACCACGCCAACAAUUUCCCACAGUUCCGUAAAUCACUCUCACGCUCUCUUGACGGUCGUCGGCGUUCACUGAGAGGUUCCGUACGUUACACCGUGCCGAGGAAAAUCCGCACACGAUGGACACAUCCGAUGGUGGGAAUCGGACCUUCGAUCUGCUCGACGAGCUAGAACUAUUGCUACGCCGGAAGGGACGUUUGCCGGUGGUGCUCGUGAUUCUCAUUGCGCUGGCAGUUUGUUUUUUGGUGGUCGGCAUACUGAUGGCCACCGGGAUCAUGCUCGUGACGUUCGUGCUGUUCGUUUGCUUUGACGAAGGUUUUGGCGAGAUGAACACUUCACUAAAUAUUUUAGGCCAAUGAAUAGAAUGUGGUGUGCCUGUUGCGCUAAUAAAGUGUCCCUGUUGCUCCCCUAGAAGCGUAAAGCCAGGGCGUGAGUGUGUGAAGCGUGUUCUACAUUUUA
Molecule: long non-coding RNA, 869 nt
Organism: Anopheles stephensi (Asian malaria mosquito)
Lineage: Eukaryota; Metazoa; Arthropoda; Insecta; Diptera; Culicidae
Exons: 2
Source: RefSeq, a predicted model, not a curated record